RNAcentral lists this RNase P RNA (445 nucleotides) under Minisyncoccota bacterium. Its description in RNAcentral is "RNase P RNA component class A". It matches the Rfam family "Bacterial RNase P class A". From Rfam's summary of the family: Ribonuclease P (RNase P) is a ubiquitous endoribonuclease, found in archaea, bacteria and eukarya as well as chloroplasts and mitochondria. Its best characterised activity is the generation of mature 5'-ends of tRNAs by cleaving the 5'-leader elements of precursor-tRNAs. Cellular RNase Ps are ribonucleoproteins. Lineage: Bacteria; Bacillati; Minisyncoccota. The record is from RNAcentral.
UUCUCGUGUUGGAUAGUCGCUUUUAGCUUUACAGCUAGGAGAGGAAAGUCCGAACAUUCCCCUCUUUAUUGAGGAAGCGUAGCGGGUAACGCCCGUCGUGAGUAAUCACAGAGGUGCGAGCAGUGACGCCGGAGCCGAAAGGCAAUGGAGCCCUUCGGGGUUAAUCUUAUUGAAAAAUAAGGGUGAAACGGCCAAAUCCUUACGUGAAUGCAAGAUCGUGCCCAGGCAUCACCCGCAGGGUGAUGCAGAAGCUAGAUUUAAGAAAUAAGAAUUAAGAUCAAAUGCAUUCGCAUUAUUCUUAAAUCGUAAUUCAAAAUUCUUACAUCUGCAUCGCGCUCCGCGUGAUGCUUGGGAGAAUCGCUAGAGGUGCUUGGUAACAAGCAUCCCAGAUAAAUGACUGUCGCUCGCAAGAGUACAGAAUUCGGCUUAUAGACACGAGAACUAU